AGUUGGUGAGGUACUAUGUAUGUGUACAUAUGCAACUGAUGUAUGUGUGAAACUUGUUUCAAAAAAUGAGAAAAACAAGGUCUGCGAAAUGGUUGAAAUUCUGGUCGACUACAUAAUAGAUCGGGGGUAUAUGUCAUGUGUAAAUUGUCUUUACUGGUUAGAGAGUCUGUAACGUCAUUCUACCAGUUUUUAUCAUUACUCAUAUCAUACAUUCAUUUAUGUAAAAAUUAUUUAAUUCUAUUCUUAUACCGGUACUAUGUAAACAUUUUUAAUUGUAUUCUUGUCAUUAUGUAAACAAUUUGAAUUUUAUUCUUGUCAUUAUGCAUCGGAUUUGAAUUUUAUUCUCGUCAUCAUGUAUCCAAUUUGGAGGAA
Long non-coding RNA from Sinocyclocheilus grahami, 372 nucleotides. RefSeq lists it as uncharacterized. Lineage: Eukaryota; Metazoa; Chordata; Actinopteri; Cypriniformes; Cyprinidae. The record is from RefSeq and is a predicted model, not a curated record. The transcript is spliced from 2 exons.